GGGAAGUCAGGGAGCUGCAGCUGAGUCCACAGGGGGAUGCUGCUUACCAGCUACCAGAGUGAUGCUCAGGGCUUGCUCAAGGCUCGC
RNAcentral lists this microRNA precursor (87 nucleotides) under Mus pahari (shrew mouse). RNAcentral's name for it is "miRNA (MGP_PahariEiJ_G0007280.1)". Lineage: Eukaryota; Metazoa; Chordata; Mammalia; Rodentia; Muridae. The record is from RNAcentral.